GAGAACAGGAAGGGGGAGGGAGGUGUGGAGAAGUAAAGAAAGAGAGGGAUAGGGUCAAAAAGAGUAGAGCAGGAAAAGAUAGAAAGAAGGGGGUAGAGGAGGAGGAGGGCGGGAGGGUUGAGGAAGACGGGAGCAGGAGGAAGAAGGAAGAAAGUGUUUUCUGUGAAGUAGAGGGAGUUUUGAGUGAUAGUGAACAUAUUGUAGAUGAAGCUUUGAGAGGAGCAGGACGCUGAGAAGCACCAGCGCUGUCAGAGCACCCUCAGGGACAGCCACGGGCCGUCCGUCAGCCGUUAUCUGGAGAGACGACACGUUUUCUACCUGCAGCCCGGAAUCAGCUGAACGGCGGGGUUAAGAUGUGUACCCACCCUUGGCAUCAUCAGAUCAUCGACCUCCAAUUGAGCGAGCGGCGGAUGCAGGAAUCUGUAUUGAGACUGCCCCCUAAUGGAGACAAAGUGUACUGCACACAUGCUGCUAUCUCCCGUGUUCAUCCUUCUUUUCCAGCCGACAUUUCUUAUUUUGAAACACCUUCACUACACACGGCUGUAAUAAGUAGUAUGGUGAUUAUAAAGAGGUCGCAGAGGUAAGUACUGUGUCUGUUUUAAUGAUAAUGAGGUGUCGGCUGCUCUCUGAGAAACAAACCGUGGACAUGUGGUGGCGUCCUGCCAGCCUCUCGUUUUUGUGUCUCUGACUCACUGAAGAUGAACUCCUGACUUCACACUGCCUCUGA
Long non-coding RNA from Labrus mixtus (cuckoo wrasse), 727 nucleotides. RefSeq lists it as uncharacterized. The record is from RefSeq and is a predicted model, not a curated record. NCBI's taxonomy places the organism in Eukaryota, Metazoa, Chordata, Actinopteri, Labriformes, Labridae. The transcript has 3 exons.